UCACUAACCUAGAAGUGCAGCAACCUAUCUAUCAAAGCAACGACAUCAAGAAACCUAAUCCGUCAUAAUAUAUACUACGUCCUAAAUCACAGUAUUCCGGUAUGUAGAAUGUUCUUCUCCAAAAUUUGGGCGAUAACUGUUGCCUCUCCUGUUUCUGUCUCUAUAGCUUCUCAACACCAACAAUGGCCAAGAACAAGUACCACAAUCAUCAAGAAUACCUAAUAGUGCUGAAAUUACUUCAAGUCACGACGCAGGUAACUAGGAUCGACAGUCCAGCACACUGUUGAUCCAGUAAGCAAUUCAGAGUCAGUUGCAGGUAGAGGAAGAUAAGAUUAGAGAUAGAGAGGAGUUCAAGAACAAGAGGCACAAGACAGGGAAUGAAACCGGGCAGCACAAUAAUAAUGCCAACUGGUCAUCUUUCCAACAGGAACAAAAUGGACCAGCUCCACACUACUACAAAAGGUCCCUUUAGCGGCUGUAAAAUAUGGCUUUAGCGGCAAUAGCAUAUGCCGCGAUAUUCUAUACCGGCCAAUGAACUUUAGCCAGCAAUGUUGGGUUCGGCAAAGGCUUUUGCAGCCAUUGUGGGAAAUGCUGGUAAAGGGUAGCAUGAAUUGCCGAUACAAAUCAUUAGCUUUUACUGCAAUUAAUUGUUGUAAUUAUGUUGGCUACUAAAGGUAAUUCAUACGGUCUAACAAUUGACUUUUAGCGUCCAUUGAUUUAAUCGAUAAAUAUGAAUAACGUUCAUUAUUUUAGUCUAUAAA
Molecule: long non-coding RNA, 761 nt
Organism: Solanum pennellii
Lineage: Eukaryota; Viridiplantae; Streptophyta; Magnoliopsida; Solanales; Solanaceae
Exons: 4
Source: RefSeq, a predicted model, not a curated record